This 253-nucleotide ribosomal RNA is filed under the name uncultured bacterium. RNAcentral's name for it is "partial 16S ribosomal RNA". It matches the Rfam family "Bacterial small subunit ribosomal RNA", at positions 524 to 776 of the family's 1533-position model. The record is from RNAcentral.
GACGGAAGGUGCAAGCGUUGCUCGGAAUCACUGGGCGUAAAGGGUGCGUAGGCGGCUUGGUGGGUCUGGUGUGAAAGCCCCGGGCUCAGCCCGGGAAGGGCACUAGAAACUGCCGAGCUGGAGUGCCGGAGGGGAGAGUGGAAUUCCUGGUGUAGCGGUGAAAUGCGUAGAUAUCAGGAGGAACACCAAUAGCGAAGGCAGCUCGCUGGGACGUUACUGACACUGAGGCGCGAAAGCGUGGGGAGCGAACAGG